RNAcentral lists this ribosomal RNA (731 nucleotides) under Lysinibacillus fusiformis. RNAcentral describes it as "bacterial SSU rRNA". It matches the Rfam family "Bacterial small subunit ribosomal RNA", at positions 57 to 769 of the family's 1533-position model. The record is from RNAcentral. Lineage: Bacteria; Bacillati; Bacillota; Bacilli; Caryophanales; Bacillaceae.
GCAGUCGAGCGAACAGAGAAGGAGCUUGCUCCUUCGACGUUAGCGGCGGACGGGUGAGUAACACGUGGGCAACCUACCUUAUAGUUUGGGAUAACUCCGGGAAACCGGGGCUAAUACCGAAUAAUCUGUUUCACCUCAUGGUGAAACACUGAAAGACGGCAUCUCGCUGUCGCUAUAGGAUGGGCCCGCGGCGCAUUAGCUAGUUGGUGAGGUAACGGCUCACCAAGGCGACGAUGCGUAGCCGACCUGAGAGGGUGAUCGGCCACACUGGGACUGAGACACGGCCCAGACUCCUACGGGAGGCAGCAGUAGGGAAUCUUCCACAAUGGGCGAAAGCCUGAUGGAGCAACGCCGCGUGAGUGAAGAAGGAUUUCGGUUCGUAAAACUCUGUUGUAAGGGAAGAACAAGUACAGUAGUAACUGGCUGUACCUUGACGGUACCUUAUUAGAAAGCCACGGCUAACUACGUGCCAGCAGCCGCGGUAAUACGUAGGUGGCAAGCGUUGUCCGGAAUUAUUGGGCGUAAAGCGCGCGCAGGUGGUUUCUUAAGUCUGAUGUGAAAGCCCACGGCUCAACCGUGGAGGGUCAUUGGAAACUGGGAGACUUGAGUGCAGAAGAGGAUAGUGGAAUUCCAAGUGUAGCGGUGAAAUGCGUAGAGAUUUGGAGGAACACCAGUGGCGAAGGCGACUAUCUGGUCUGUAACUGACACUGAGGCGCGAAAGCGUGGGGAGC